RNAcentral lists this long non-coding RNA (1152 nucleotides) under Coffea arabica (coffee). RNAcentral's name for it is "long non-coding RNA (CARA_LNC001585)". The record is from RNAcentral. Lineage: Eukaryota; Viridiplantae; Streptophyta; Magnoliopsida; Gentianales; Rubiaceae.
UACGGGGAGACCUAAAUCGUGACUUGAUUUUCCCUUUGAUUAGAAGGCGAAACUAGCGUGCUAAGGCUAUCGAGUAGCCACACUCGCUCGUUUCCCUUAUCGGAAGGGGACACUCAAGCAAAAUGAACCCUAUAGCUAGUAUGGGAUGCAAAACCUAAAGUGAGGGGAAAAGGGGGUCGAGGAUCAUGCCAAAUGAUAAAACUAAGGAAAAUGCGUGAUAUGUAGUGAACAAACAAAUAAUGCAUUAAUGAAAAACAAAGGAAAAAUCCUAUUGGGUCUAGCGUUGGACUAGCCCUUUCUAUGAAUUCCUAAUGAAAAUAAUGAGCCACAACUAGCGUUGGACUAGUGUGGUGACGUACAUUCAUCCAUUCCAUUCAUUCAUGGUUAUGAAAGCAAGUAGUCAUGCCAAAACGCUCGUAAACACAUAGCAAGUAGCACUUAGCAUGCUCGACUAGAUGCAAGAGCCUACUAAAGCAAUUUAACAUGUAACAAUAAAAGCAAGCAACCAGGGGGGAAGGGGAAGUGGACCAGAUGCUCUCCGAGCCCUAUCUAUUACAAGCCAAGAGGUGUACACAUACCCCAUGAAAGCAUAAAGGGAAAGGGGAAAUGGACCAGAUGCUCUCCGAGCCCUAUCUAUUACAAGCCAAGAGGUGUACACAUACCCCAUAAAAGCAUAAAGGGGAAAGGGAAAUGGACCAGAUGCUCUUCGAGCCCUAUCUAUUACAAGCCAAGAGGUGUACACAUACCCCAUAAAACUUAAAUAAAAGUAAAAAGCAAGUAAAUACAUGCAAGGAGGUAAGGAAAGCGAAGUAGACAUGCAUAUUCACAUAACACGUAGGGGCACGUAAGGUCAAAUGUAGUGCAAAUGAGGGAUAGAGUGUACCUCCCUCGAAUUGACGCCCCAAUGAGGUGGGAUUAUUCAAUUACCCUCCAAAAUAAUAAAAAGGUCAAGGCACCACUUUAUUUAAGAAAAAUUAAAAGAAAUGGGCAAAACAAAGCUCACUUAGCCAUAAAGUCCCUAAAGUCAUGAAUUGAAUGCAAUUGAAUCAAAGCAUAAUAAUUAAUUAAAACAAACGAGCAAUGAAGUUGUAGAAUUAAAAUUGUCAAGGACCAAAUUGAGGAAAUUAUUCAAUUGGUUGGGUCAUAGUGAAA